Capra hircus (goat) is the source of this 1176-nucleotide non-coding RNA. NCBI's taxonomy places the organism in Eukaryota, Metazoa, Chordata, Mammalia, Artiodactyla, Bovidae. The record is from the annotation of a RefSeq genome assembly.
ACGGUGUAGAUGUCUGGGGCCGAGGACUCCUGGUCACCGUCUCCUCAGCCUCCACCACACCCCCGAAAGUCUACCCUCUGACUUCUUGCUGCGGGGACACGUCCAGCUCCAUCGUGACCCUGGGCUGCCUGGUCUCCAGCUAUAUGCCCGAGCCGGUGACCGUGACCUGGAACUCGGGUGCCCUGACCAGCGGCGUGCACACCUUCCCGGCCGUCCUGCAGUCCUCCGGGCUCUACUCUCUCAGCAGCAUGGUGACCGUGCCGGCCAGCACCUCAGGAGCCCAGACCUUCAUCUGCAACGUAGCCCACCCGGCCAGCAGCACCAAGGUGGACAAGCGUGUUGGGAUCUCCAGUGACUACUGCAAGUGUCCCAAACAGCCUUGCGUGAGGGGACCGUCUGUCUUCAUCUUCCCCCCGAAACCCAAGGACAGCCUCAUGAUCACAGGAACGCCCGAGGUCACGUGUGUGGUGGUGGACGUGGGCCAGGACGACCCCGAGGUGCAGUUCUCCUGGUUCGUGGACAACGUGGAGGUGCACACGGCCAGGACAAAGCCGAGAGAGGAGCAGUUCAACAGCACCUUCCGCGUGGUCAGCGCCCUGCCCAUCCAGCACGACCACUGGACUGGAGGGAAGGAGUUCAAGUGCAAGGUCAACAACAAAGCCCUCCCGGCCCCCAUCGUGAGGACCAUCUCCAGGGACAAAGGGCAGGCCCGGGAGCCGCAGGUGUACGUCCUGGCCCCACCCCAGGAAGAGCUCAGCAAAAGCACGCUCAGCGUCACCUGCCUCGUCACCGGCUUCUACCCAGACUACAUCGCCGUGGAGUGGCAGAGAGCGCGGCAGCCCGAGUCGGAGGACAAGUACCGCACGACCACAUCCCAGCUGGACGCCGACGGCUCCUACUUCCUGUACAGCAGGCUCAGGGUGGACAAGAGCAGCUGGCAGGAAGGAGACACCUACGCGUGUGUGGUGAUGCACGAGGCUCUGCACAAUCACUACACACAGAAGUCCAUCUCUAAGCCUCCGGGUAAAUGAGCCACACGCCCCCGCACCAGCAAGCCCUCCCCCAGCCCGCCCUCCCCGGGCUCCAGGUCCAGCCAGGACGCCCUAGCCCCUCCCUCUGUGCAUGCCUCCUGGGCCGCCAUGAAUAAAGCGCCCAGGCCGCCCUGGGACCCUGCAA